UGGAUAUCAAUUUCAAUUAUAGCAUGUUACAACACAUUAUAGCCUCGACUGAUAUUCAAAACAUUCAAAACAUUGAUUAUAUCACAACCUCCUAAACAACUCACAGACUUAUUCUCCCGACUGGUACCGUAAAGGUUCGAUGAUUUAAGAUCACAGCCUCUAAAACAGCUCGCGGAUCUACAUUCCCAAUUGAUAUUGUAAAGGUUCGCUGCUUUAAGAUCGUAGCCUCUGAAAUAGCUCAUGGACCUACAUUUUCAGCUGAUGAUUAAAGGUUAACUGAGUUAAGCUUGCGAUGUCCAGAUAUUUGAGUUAGCUGAGUUAAGCUUGCGACCCCACAUAGCUCACUGAUUUAAGAUCAUAGCUGAUAUCGAACAAUUUUCUCUGAGUCCGUUGAUUUACAAAAUAUUUUCUUACGCGAAACAUAGUUUGUAGUAUUCUGCAAUACAAUUCUUGACUCCUG
RNAcentral lists this long non-coding RNA (460 nucleotides) under Gossypium barbadense (sea-island cotton). RNAcentral's name for it is "long non-coding RNA (GBAR_LNC007081)". Lineage: Eukaryota; Viridiplantae; Streptophyta; Magnoliopsida; Malvales; Malvaceae. The record is from RNAcentral.